GAAUGGCAUCACGAGGGUUACACUGUCUCCUUUCUCUAAUCAGUGAAACUAAUUUUCCCGUGAAGAAGCGGGAAUAAUUAUAUAAGACGAGAAGACCCUAUGGAGCUUUAAAUAACAUAACACUUGCUAAUUACCUAUUAUCUCCCGAUAUUUAAUCUUCAUCCAAGCAUUAUGAUUAUUAGUUUUAGGUUGGGGCGACCACGGAGCAAAAAUUAACCUCCACAUUGUAAAAUUUAUUUUUAAGCAAAAAGCUACAACUUUAAGCAUCAAUAAAUUGACAUUUAUUGACCCAAUAUUUUGAUCAACGAACCAAGUUACCCUAGGGAUAACAGCGCAAUCCACUUUGAGAGCUCUUAUCGACAAGUGG
RNAcentral lists this ribosomal RNA (367 nucleotides) under Hylodes asper (warty tree toad). RNAcentral's name for it is "partial 16S ribosomal RNA". It matches the Rfam family "Bacterial large subunit ribosomal RNA", at positions 1994 to 2515 of the family's 2925-position model. Lineage: Eukaryota; Metazoa; Chordata; Amphibia; Anura; Hylodidae. The record is from RNAcentral.